AACGAACGCUGGCGGCAGGCCUAACACAUGCAAGUCGAGCGCGCCCUUCGGGGUGAGCGGCGGACGGGUGAGUAACGCGUGGGAACGUGCCCUUUUCUACGGAAUAGCCUCGGGAAACUGAGAGUAAUACCGUAUACGCCCUUUGGGGGAAAGAUUUAUCGGAAAAGGAUCGGCCCGCGUUGGAUUAGGUAGUUGGUGGGGUAAUGGCCUACCAAGCCGACGAUCCAUAGCUGGUUUGAGAGGAUGAUCAGCCACACUGGGACUGAGACACGGCCCAGACUCCUACGGGAGGCAGCAGUGGGGAAUCUUAGACAAUGGGGGCAACCCUGAUCUAGCCAUGCAGCGUGAGUGAUGAAGGCCUUAGGGUUGUAAAGCUCUUUCAGCUGGGAAGAUAAUGACGGUACCAGCAGAAGAAGCCCCGGCUAACUCCGUG
This 433-nucleotide ribosomal RNA is filed under the name uncultured bacterium. RNAcentral describes it as "partial 16S ribosomal RNA". It matches the Rfam family "Bacterial small subunit ribosomal RNA", at positions 29 to 507 of the family's 1533-position model. The record is from RNAcentral.